RNAcentral lists this ribosomal RNA (465 nucleotides) under uncultured bacterium. RNAcentral describes it as "bacterial SSU rRNA". It matches the Rfam family "Bacterial small subunit ribosomal RNA", at positions 338 to 795 of the family's 1533-position model. The record is from RNAcentral.
CCUACGGGCGGCAGCAGUGGGGAAUAUUGCACAAUGGGCGCAAGCCUGAUGCAGCCAUGCCGCGUGUAUGAAGAAGGCCUUCGGGUUGUAAAGUACUUUCGGCGGGGAGGAAGGUGUUGUGGUUAAUAACCGCAGCAAUUGACGUUACCCGCAGAAGAAGCACCGGCUAACUCCGUGCCAGCAGCCGCGGUAAUACGGAGGGUGCAAGCGUUAAUCGGAAUUACCGGGCGUAAAGCGCACGCAGGCGGUCUGUCAAGUCGAAUGUGAAAUCCCCGGGCUCAACCCGGGAACUGCAUUCGAAACUGGCAGGCUAGAGUCUUGUAGAGGGGGGUAGAAUUCCAGGUGUAGCGGUGAAAUGCGUAGAGAUCUGGAGGAAUACCGGUGGCGAAGGCGGCCCCCUGGACAAAGACUGACGCUCAGGUGCGAAAGCGUGGGGAGCAAACAGGAUUAGAUACCCCAGUAGUC